This 781-nucleotide ribosomal RNA is filed under the name Fallicambarus danielae. RNAcentral describes it as "partial 28S ribosomal RNA". The stretch from base 306 to 781 matches the Rfam family "Eukaryotic large subunit ribosomal RNA", at positions 665 to 926 of the family's 3401-position model. Lineage: Eukaryota; Metazoa; Arthropoda; Malacostraca; Decapoda; Cambaridae. The record is from RNAcentral.
GGGGACGUAACAAAGCGACCCAGGAAUGCUUGGGCGUGCCUCCACCCACGCCGGCGUCGGCGGGCGUAUUUCGCCUCACAGUAGGUCGCCGCGACCCGUUGCUUUUGGGGACGUCGAAGGCCCGGACGGAUUGGUACCCUACCGGCUGGGGAUGCGGCUUCGGCUUCUCCUCUUGUCCGGUGGGCGAAACCGCCGGUGUCCUGGCUGCCCUGCGACGGUCGUAGAGACGAGCCCUCCCCUUCGGGGGGGCGGCUCUCGCGGCGUGCAAAAGGUCGGUGAUCCACCCGACCCGUCUUGAAACACGGACCAAGGAGUCUAACAUGUGUGCGAGUCAGUGGGCGCACUAAACCCAGAGGCGUAAUGAAAGUGACACGGGCUCGGCUGUCGCCUCGUGUGGCAGCCGGACUCAGGGCCGAUCCCUCACCGGUUGUCCUCGCCUCUCUCCCGCGUCUCGGUAAGCCGGGUGAGYUAUUUUCCCCGGCCGCUGCUGCGGGGCUCGGGGGAAGGCGGGGUGCGAUGGUGUCUGUAAAAAAGAGCCUGCUGUUGCAGGGGGGCGCAGGCCCGGGACUUGCCAGGACGCCGCGAGACUGUCACUUUGCUGUGAGGCUCUCGGGCCGAUCAGCGGGUCAUGCGUGCAGUCGGCAAGUACCAUGAGCAGACAUGUUGGGACCCGAAAGAUGGUGAACUAUGCCUGGCCAGGAUGAAGCCAGAGGAAACUCUGGUGGAGGUCCGUAGCGAUUCUGACGUGCAAAUCGAUCGUCGGAGCUGGGUAUAGGGGCGA